UACGUAGGGGGCAAGCGUUGUCCGGAAUUAUUGGGCGUAAAGAGCGUGUAGGCGGUCCGGUAAGUCAGCUGUGAAAGUCAAGGGCUCAACCCUUGAAUGCCGGUUGAUACUGUCGGGCUAGAGUCCGGAAGAGGCGAGUGGAAUUCCCGGUGUAGCGGUGAAAUGCGCAGAUAUCGGGAGGAACCCCAAUGGCGAAGGCAGCUCGCUGGGACGGUACUGACGCUGAGACGCGAAAGCGUGGGGAGCAAACAGG
Molecule: ribosomal RNA, 253 nt
Filed under: uncultured bacterium
Lineage: Bacteria
Description: partial 16S ribosomal RNA
Rfam family: Bacterial small subunit ribosomal RNA
Source: RNAcentral